This 274-nucleotide ribosomal RNA is filed under the name uncultured bacterium. Its description in RNAcentral is "partial 16S ribosomal RNA". It matches the Rfam family "Bacterial small subunit ribosomal RNA", at positions 523 to 796 of the family's 1533-position model. The record is from RNAcentral.
AUACGGAGGGUGCAAGCGUUACUCGGAAUCACUGGGCGUAAAGCGCGCGCAGGCGGCUUGAUAAGUUGGAUGUGAAAGCCUACGGCUCAACCGUAGAACUGCAUCCAAAACUGUCAGGCUAGAGUGUGGGAGAGGAAGAUGGAAUUAGUUGUGUAGGGGUAAAAUCCGUAGAGAUAACUAGGAAUACCAAAAGCGAAGGCAAUCUUCUGGAACACUACUGACGCUGAGGCGCGAAGGCGUGGGGAGCAAACAGGAUUAGAAACCCGGGUAGUCC